This 50-nucleotide transfer RNA is filed under the name Gerrhonotus infernalis. RNAcentral's name for it is "tRNA-His". The record is from RNAcentral. Lineage: Eukaryota; Metazoa; Chordata; Lepidosauria; Squamata; Anguidae.
GUAAAUAUAGUUUAAUACAAAACAUUAGUCUGUGGACCUAAAAAUAGAAG